Molecule: long non-coding RNA, 772 nt
Organism: Mytilus californianus (California mussel)
Lineage: Eukaryota; Metazoa; Mollusca; Bivalvia; Mytilida; Mytilidae
Exons: 2
Source: RefSeq, a predicted model, not a curated record
GUUAUUGUCAUUAAAUGAUAAUGUUUACCCUUUUAUGUGUAGGGCAAGGACAUUAAAGAUAAAGGGAAACUAUAAACAAAAGAAAUUAUCCACAAAAAUAGAUUUAUAGACGUCAACAAAGCCUUAAUGGUCAGACAUCUUGGUUUUCAUGAUCAUCAUUCAACAAGUCAAUACUGAACAGAAAACUUAAAGUUGAUAUUUUUCUACAUAGUGUGACUUUUUUAUUAAUUUGAAAUGGAAUAUGUUUUUUUCCUAUAUAAGAAAGAGGAAAUUUCAUCAUAAUGACUAUAAACAAAAAGGCGUCAUAACAUCAUGAUCAUAGAUGCACAAGAACUUAAUCAUGUAAAUGCAACAACGUAAUUAUCAAUUGAAAGAAGAGAGGAAUGAAAAAAUAUAUUAGUAUUUUGUUGUCCAAAUGAACUUGCUUUGUCCACUCAUUUAAAUCGCUCCAUCUUAUAAAGAUGUACGGAGGAAGAUUUUUGAAGAACAGAUUGCAAAAGAGGUUUUGUCUUAGAAUUGUAGGAAUAUUCUAGUGGAUGAAAUAAUUUAUUUACUUGACUCUUAUAUAGUGGACUGAAUAAUUGUACAUAGCAAGCUGAAACAAGAAAACUAAAACUUAACAGGAAAAGUGUUUAUUUUUAUAAAUUUGCAAAUAUAAACGUAAAAUUAUGAACACCACAACGGUAUAAGAUUCAAAUCGUUUGCAUAUUCAUGUAUUGCAAUGGAACUAUAACAAAGAAAACUUUAACUCAUGAAAAGAGUAAACUAUUAA